UUUUGAUUUUAUAGGAAAGUGCAAAAUAUUUCAUGAAAAUAUAUGCAUGUCAGAAAUCAGUUACAAGAGAUAUAUAGUAAGGUAUAAAAUCAAUAAAUAAUCUGACAGAUUCCAUAUAUACAACAUGCUUAAUGCACAAACAUGCAGGAAACAUGGCUGUCAAUUUAAAAUACAGUUUCCAUCAAUACAUAACAACUAAACACACUCAUCAUUACUUUUAACAACAUUUUGUUCUUAAUGAUUUGUAAUUUUAAGUCAUAUUCAAAAAAUGUCACAAUAAUAAUAGGAGAAAGAUUUAAUAAAGAAAUUCCAAAGAUAGUUUAGAUGUUUUCAUGUUCUGCAACUUGUUAUAUGAAAAGUUAAACCAAGAUGCUAUAGUUUCCUGAAACCUAUUUUGAUAUCAAACAUAACAACAUAUAUCUAAGAAAUAUUGAAGAAUGUUGAAAGGGUUAAGAGGCUGUCCAAGUAAAUAUCAGGCUAAUCCUAUGAUAUGAGUGGCACAACAUAAUUUUUUUCCCAUUGAUUUUGGUUCCAAUGCAAUAUUUAUAUCAUACAAAGGACAUAUAUGUCAAAGAUAUUUUUGAAUCAACAGUGGAUGGCUCAGAAAAUGAUUUUAAAGUUCAACAAAAUUUUGUACAAAAUGUAGAGUUAUCCCCACUUUUCAAUGAAUUUUCAGUGCUUUCUAUGUAUUUUUUUCUCUUCAUUUGUUGCAGUUAAUAAAAAAACCAAAAUUUAACUAUGAGAAAGAAUGAAUUUGUGAUAUGAAAUAGAUGAACAAAUUUUGAAAACGAAAUGUCAUGUGCCAUCCACUGCCUGGUUUUUCCAUGGACACCCUCUUAAAUUGAGGUAUUGCAUGAUCUAAACAUAUUUAUGUUGUUGAAUUAAAACCAUGGCAACAGAUCAAAAUUAACCUUUAUUCCUAUUAUAUUGUUAUAAAUCAGAAAAUCAAGUUAAUUGAGGUACAAAUAUAUAAUUAGUCAGAUAUAUAUUACACUAUAAAAAACAAAACAAGAAUGUGUCCCAAGUACACGGAUGCCCCAUCCGCACUAUCAUUUUCUAUGUUCAGUGGACCGUGAAAAUGGGAUAAAAUCUC
RNAcentral lists this long non-coding RNA (1093 nucleotides) under Mytilus galloprovincialis (Mediterranean mussel). Lineage: Eukaryota; Metazoa; Mollusca; Bivalvia; Mytilida; Mytilidae. The record is from RNAcentral.